RNAcentral lists this transfer RNA (83 nucleotides) under Schistocephalus solidus. It matches the Rfam family "tRNA". From Rfam's summary of the family: Transfer RNA (tRNA) molecules are approximately 80 nucleotides in length. Their secondary structure includes four short double-helical elements and three loops (D, anti-codon, and T loops). Lineage: Eukaryota; Metazoa; Platyhelminthes; Cestoda; Diphyllobothriidea; Diphyllobothriidae. The record is from Rfam by way of RNAcentral.
GGCCUCGUAGCUCCAUUGGCUAGAGCGUUGGUUGUGCUAAAGCCUUCACCUUGCUGACGUGGGUUCAAAUCCCACCGAGGCCG